Molecule: ribosomal RNA, 483 nt
Filed under: uncultured bacterium
Lineage: Bacteria
Description: bacterial SSU rRNA
Rfam family: Bacterial small subunit ribosomal RNA
Source: RNAcentral
AUUGAACGCUGGCGGCAUGCCUUACACAUGCAAGUCGAACGGCAGCACGGGAGCAAUCCUGGUGGCGAGUGGCGAACGGGUGAGUAAUAUAUCGGAACGUGCCCAGUCGUGGGGAUAACGUAGCGAAAGCUACGCUAAUACCGCAUACGAUCUAUGGAUGAAAGCGGGGGAUCGCAAGACCUCGCGCGAUUGGAGCGGCCGAUAUCAGAUUAGGUAGUUGGUGAGGUAAAGGCUCACCAAGCCGACGAUCUGUAGCUGGUCUGAGAGGACGACCAGCCACACUGGGACUGAGACACGGCCCAGACUCCUACGGGAGGCAGCAGUGGGGAAUUUUGGACAAUGGGCGCAAGCCUGAUCCAGCAAUGCCGCGUGCAGGAUGAAGGCCUUCGGGUUGUAAACUGCUUUUGUACGGAACGAAACGGUAAGCUCUAAUACAGUUUGCUAAUGACGGUACCGUAAGAAUAAGCACCGGCUAACUACGUG